Molecule: ribosomal RNA, 123 nt
Filed under: uncultured bacterium
Lineage: Bacteria
Description: partial 16S ribosomal RNA
Rfam family: Bacterial small subunit ribosomal RNA
Source: RNAcentral
UUGCACUAUUGGAUGAGCCUAUGUCAGAUUAGCUUGUUGGUGGGGUAAUGGCCGUACCAAGGCGACGAUCUGUAGCUGGUCUGAGAGGACGAUCAGCCACACUGGGACUGAGACACGGCCCAG